AGUGAACGCUGGCGGUAGGCCUAACACAUGCAAGUCGAACGGCAGCACAGUAAGAGCUUGCUCUUACGGGUGGCGAGUGGCGGACGGGUGAGGAAUACAUCGGAAUCUACUUUUUCGUGGGGGAUAACGUAGGGAAACUUACGCUAAUACCGCAUACGACCUACGGGUGAAAGCAGGGGAUCUUCGGACCUUGCGCGAUUGAAUGAGCCGAUGUCGGAUUAGCUAGUUGGCGGGGUAAAGGCCCACCAAGGCGACGAUCCGUAGCUGGUCUGAGAGGAUGAUCAGCCACACUGGAACUGUGACACGGUCCAGACUCCUACGGGAGGCAGCAGUGGGGAAUAUUGGACAAUGGGCGCAAGCCUGAUCCAGCCAUACCGCGUGGAUGAAGAAGGCCUUCGGGUUGUAAAGCCCUUUUGUUGGGAAAGAAAAGCAGCAGGUUAAUACCCCGCUGUUCUGACGGUACCCAAAGAAUAAGCACCGGCUAACUUCGUG
Molecule: ribosomal RNA, 492 nt
Filed under: uncultured bacterium
Lineage: Bacteria
Description: partial 16S ribosomal RNA
Rfam family: Bacterial small subunit ribosomal RNA
Source: RNAcentral